AACGAACGCUGGCGGCAGGCCUAACACAUGCAAGUCGAGCGAGGACUUCGGUUCUAUCGGCGUACGGGUUAGUAACGCGUGGGAAUGUGCCCUUCUCUACGGAAUAGCUCUGGGAAACUGGGAGUAAUAGCGUAUACGCCCUAUUGCGGGAAGAUUUAUCGAAGAAGGAUCAUCCCGAGUUGGAGUAGGUAGUUGUUGGGGUAAUGGCCUACCAAGCCGACGAUCCAUAGCUGGGUUGAGAGGAUGAUCAGCCACACUGGGACUGAGACACGGCCCAGACUCCUCCGGGAGGCAGCAGUGGGGAAUCUUAGAACAUGGCGGCAACCAUGAUCUAGCCAUGACGGGUGAGUGCUGAAGGCCUUAGGGUUGUAAAGCUCUUUCAGCUGGGAAGAUAAUGACGGUACCAGAAGAAGAAGCCCCGGCUAACUACGUG
This 433-nucleotide ribosomal RNA is filed under the name uncultured bacterium. RNAcentral describes it as "partial 16S ribosomal RNA". It matches the Rfam family "Bacterial small subunit ribosomal RNA", at positions 29 to 507 of the family's 1533-position model. The record is from RNAcentral.